CGAAACAUCAGGCAGUGCUUUUUAUAUGUAUAUCUGGAAACAAUUUUUGAUGACUUUUUGGACACCCUUUUUUUAAAACAGGGGAUUCAGAUACUUUUAAAACCAAAAGGACUAAAAAAAUCAACAAACAAUUCAAGUGCAGGAGCACACCGAUAACAUCCACUAUUGGAUUCUUCCAUUCUUCCUCCAUCACUAAGGGUAGGCCACCCAAACAUUUCAAAUCUUGAUGUUUGUCAACAUUUCCCCAGAGGCAGACCGCUUCCCGGAGACCCUGAACUCUCUGCGGUUUUCCAGCAUGGCCUCACACUAUUUAAUUUUUUUAACACCACAUACAAUUCACUCAAGAACAUGUUCAUAUGCUGUGCAUAUUUUGUUUAAAUAUCUGAAUAACAAUGGCAUAUUUGUAACUGUUUAUUUAUUCUGUUGCAGGUGAAGGAUUGUGUUAUUGGCACAGCAUCAGCUAACGAAGUAAAAGCCCACAAUAAGUAAACCGGAAGUAAAAAGGGGGAAAUGUAAAUGGACUAUUUUUUAAAUAUAAUUUGCAUCAAUAAAGUUGUACAAACAUGGUC
Long non-coding RNA from Coregonus clupeaformis (lake whitefish), 569 nucleotides. RefSeq lists it as uncharacterized. The record is from RefSeq and is a predicted model, not a curated record. Lineage: Eukaryota; Metazoa; Chordata; Actinopteri; Salmoniformes; Salmonidae. The transcript has 2 exons.